RNAcentral lists this ribosomal RNA (253 nucleotides) under uncultured bacterium. RNAcentral describes it as "partial 16S ribosomal RNA". It matches the Rfam family "Bacterial small subunit ribosomal RNA", at positions 524 to 776 of the family's 1533-position model. The record is from RNAcentral.
UACGAAGGGGGCUAGCGUUGUUCGGAAUUACUGGGCGUAAAGCGCGCGUAGGCGGACUGACAAGUCGGGGGUGAAAUCCCGAGGCUCAACCUCGGAACUGCCUUCGAUACUGGCGAUCUUGAGUCCGGAAGAGGUGAGUGGAACUCCUAGUGUAGAGGUGGAAUUCGUAGAUAUUAGGAAGAACACCAGUGGCGAAGGCGGCUCACUGGUCCGGUACUGACGCUGAGGUGCGAAAGCGUGGGGAGCAAACAGG